RNAcentral lists this unclassified non-coding RNA (602 nucleotides) under Cortinarius sp. 9 CG-2012. RNAcentral describes it as "sequence contains ITS1, 5.8S rRNA gene, ITS2". The stretch from base 247 to 400 matches the Rfam family "5.8S ribosomal RNA". The record is from RNAcentral. Lineage: Eukaryota; Fungi; Basidiomycota; Agaricomycetes; Agaricales; Cortinariaceae.
UAUUGAAAUAAACCUGAUAGGUUGUUGCUGGCUCUUUCGGGAGCAUGUGCACGCUUGUCAUCUUUAUAUUUCCACCUGUGCACCUUUUGUAGAUCUGGAUAUCGUUCUGAAUGCCCUGGUAUUCAGGUACGAGGAUUGACUUUUCUGCCUCUCCUUACAUUUUCAGGCCUAUGUUCUUUCAUAUAACCUCAAUGUAUGUUAAGGAAUGUGUAAUACUAUGGGCUUUCAUGCCUUAUAAACCUAUACAACUUUCAGCAACGGAUCUCUUGGCUCUCGCAUCGAUGAAGAACGCAGCGAAAUGCGAUAAGUAAUGUGAAUUGCAGAAUUCAGUGAAUCAUCGAAUCUUUGAACGCACCUUGCACUCCUUGGUAUUCCGAGGAGUAUGCCUGUUUGAGUGUCAUUAAUAUAUCAACCUCGUGUAUGGAUGUGGGGGAUUAUUUUGCUGGCCUUUUUUGCUGAGGUCAGCUCCCCUGAAAUGCAUUGGCAGAAUGAUUUGCUCACUGUUCAUUGGUGUGAUAACUAUCUACGCUAUUGACAUUGAGAGCAGUUCAGCUUAUAAUGGUCCAUUGACUUGGACAACAUAUUUUAUUAAAUGUGACCUC